CUCUCUGGAUUGUCGCUUGCUUUUGGGCUCUCAUUUUUAUAGCUCCUAGCCCAGCCCCACCCUUCUCAUUACACCAAAGGACGGUGCAGCUGGACUGGAACAGGAUUUAAAGGUCCAGCUACCUUGCUACACAGCCCAUUUACGAUGGACUGUUGGGGUCUGAGGGUUCCAUGGCACUUGGCUGGAAUGCUGGGAUCUGAAGAUUCCAUGUCAGUUGAGAUCUGCAGAUGUGGCAUUCAGGGGACCCCACUACACACCGGCGGAGCACCUACUCCAGAUAAGGAAGCAAGCAAGGUGGAGCAAGAAGGACGUGUUCAGAGAGAGCACCCAGAAGACCCCUCGCCUGCCCACAGCUCAGUUUCCGACUCGUCUUUCGUGACCUGCAUUUUGAGCAGCGGCUCCCAUGGUUUCCGCUAGCCGUUUCAUAAAGGAGCUUGAUGGUUUGUUUCUUACAUGUAUCCUGAACGAAGGGCAGUUUGAAUUAGGGUUGAGCCAACCCAGAAAAUUACCCUCCCCUCUCAGAAAAGACAUAAUUUAGCAAAU
This is a long non-coding RNA of Chelonia mydas (Green sea turtle), 543 nucleotides long. RefSeq lists it as uncharacterized. The record is from RefSeq and is a predicted model, not a curated record. The transcript has 3 exons. Lineage: Eukaryota; Metazoa; Chordata; Testudines; Cheloniidae.